Long non-coding RNA from Piliocolobus tephrosceles (Ugandan red Colobus), 232 nucleotides. RefSeq lists it as uncharacterized. The transcript is spliced from 3 exons. The record is from RefSeq and is a predicted model, not a curated record. NCBI's taxonomy places the organism in Eukaryota, Metazoa, Chordata, Mammalia, Primates, Cercopithecidae.
GACUCAGAGAGGAAAGCUCAUUGGCCCAAGGUUGAUUUUAAUGCAUUUGAGCUACAAUCAUAUUUUAUUAUCUAGAAAAUGCCUUGAAGACAUCUGUGGACCUACAGACUUCCAGGGCUACUUUCUGCAUACAAAGGAGGCAUGAACAGGCCUUUCUACUCAGAAGUGGACUAAGGACUGCUUUCCCGCCUCGGGGUUUGUGAAAACAAGCCCUGCCCCUGCCCUGCAAGCC